AUGAGACAAGCUGUUUCUGAUUAUUGGUGGGGUAGAGAAGAUGGUAAGAGGAAACUUAACUGGCUUUCAUGGGAAUGGUUAUCCACACCAAAAAAGCUUGGUGGACUGGGUUUCCAUGAUUUUUCGCUCUUUAACCAAGCUAUGCUUGGUAGACAAUGUUGGAGGCUUUUUACUGAGCCAGAUUCUCUUUGUGCUCGGGUUCUCAAAGAACACUAUUUUCCCCACUGUGAUUUUUGGGAUGCGCCUAAGCCGAGGUCAUGAUCCUAUACUUGGAGAAGUAUUCUCUAUGGCCGAGAGCUUGUUAAGGUUGGUGUUUGGUGGGAAGUUGCUAAUGGCCAAAAGGUUAAAAUCAUGAUAGAUCACUGGAUUCCUAGACGACCACCGUACAUGUUGUGA
Molecule: ribosomal RNA, 396 nt
Filed under: Triticum aestivum (bread wheat)
Lineage: Eukaryota; Viridiplantae; Streptophyta; Magnoliopsida; Poales; Poaceae
Description: partial small subunit ribosomal RNA
Source: RNAcentral